Molecule: long non-coding RNA, 1452 nt
Filed under: Bos indicus x Bos taurus (hybrid cattle)
Lineage: Eukaryota; Metazoa; Chordata; Mammalia; Artiodactyla; Bovidae
Description: lncRNA (ENSBIXG00000021388.1)
Source: RNAcentral
CUCCCGGGCGCCGGGCUCCUGCCGGACUGGACGGACAGACCGACCGACGCGGGCCACCGGGCUCUCCUCGCCGCCGGCGCGGCGGGCGCGGGGCCGCGCGGGGACGCCUGAUCUCUGCAGCGCGGGCGAGUGGCCGCGCGGAGCGGAACCAGCCAAAGGCGCCCGGACGCCUGCAGGUGAGAGUGAUUUCCCAGCGAUUGCUUCGGCCGGUACAACCAGAGAACAGGAUUCUUUUCUUUUUGGCUGCUAAAUGCCUCUGUAUUCCACACUUUCCAGUGAGGGGAGAAGGCUGGAGCUUCUUGGAUGAUGAUGGAUAUUCCGCUGGGCAGGAUGAGGGCAGAGUGUGUGACAUCAACACCACAAGGGUAAGAGCUGCCUGUCUGGUGUUUUCUCUGAUGCCAGCAUUUACCAAAGGAAGGGGAGAAAAACCUAGUGACAGAAAUGAGGGUUAAGCAUCUGGGAGACUCUUCAGUUUGUAAACAUCCAUGGGGCAGUUGGGGUAGAUGACUGAGGAAGGAAGGGAGAGGGCUGGCCUGGAAGGACUGGGUUGCUGUGUGCUGGGAGACACAGCAGGUCAACUUUGGAAGAUCCUGUUGUCCACAUGGCCCACCCUCUUUUGUGGUUAUAGUUCACACUUGAGGAAGUGACACUCCUUACUGUGACAAGGUUCCAUUUGUGUCCAUUUGAGUUAGCCUGGCCUGUAAUGAGUGCUAUGGUGCCGAACCUGAGAAGAAUCUCGCUCUGGUCCCAGAUUGAGGACUUAUUGGCAGUACUGGGCCCGGAGACACACUUUUGCUUGAGCUAUAUAGGUGGCUGAGAUGGUAAAGAAUCUGCCUCCAAUUCAGGAGACCCAAGUUCGAUCCCUGGGUUGAGAGGAUCCACUAGAAAAAGAAAUGGCAACCCCCUUCAGUAUUCUUGAUUGGAAAAUCCCAUGGACAAAGGAUCUUGGUGGGCUACAGUUUACGGGGUCCCAAAGAAUUGGACACAACUGCACAAUUGACACUUCCUAUAGUGUUAAAAACUUUUUGGAUCAAUUCUGAUUAAUGUUGAGAUAUCUUACGUAAAAAUGAGGAUUUCUGGGUUUUCCAGGAACACUGUAAGAUACACCCAAACUGGCCUUCUGUUCUCAAAAAGGACUCAUGCCGAGUAGUCUUUGCCUCUGAGAUAAGCCUGGGUGGUUCACUGCAGUCCCAACUAGCCCACUUCAUUUGUGUAACUUACUUGUUGGUUGUUUGGUCACUGGAGGCAUGUCAUUUCACCAUGCCUGAUCUACAGCCUUCUGCUAGCUCUUUCACAAAAACAGUGUUUUUGUUUUUUUUUUUUUAAGAACAGUUUACAGAAAAAUUGUGCAGAAAUUGCUGAGUUCCCAUGUACACCCUCCCCUUAUCCACACAGUUCAUCCUACUUUUCACAUCUUGCCUUGGUGCAGUGUUUAUUACAAUUGUUAGCCAA